This 431-nucleotide ribosomal RNA is filed under the name uncultured bacterium. Its description in RNAcentral is "bacterial SSU rRNA". It matches the Rfam family "Bacterial small subunit ribosomal RNA", at positions 917 to 1349 of the family's 1533-position model. The record is from RNAcentral.
GGGCCCGCACAAGCGGUGGAGUAUGUGGUUUAAUUCGAUGCAACGCGAAGAACCUUACCAGGGUUUGACAUCCUGCGAAUUUCUGGGAAACCGGAAAGUGCCUUCGGGAGCGCAGUGACAGGUGGUGCAUGGCUGUCGUCAGCUCGUGUCGUGAGAUGUUGGGUUAAGUCCCGCAACGAGCGCAACCCACGUCUUUAGUUGCCAGCAUUUAGUUGGGCACUCUAGAGAGACCGCCGGUGAUAAACCGGAGGAAGGUGUGGAUGACGUCAAGUCAUCAUGCCCCUUACAUCCUGGGCUACACACGUACUACAAUGCUACGGACAAAGGGCAGCAAACUCGCGAGAGCUAGCAAAUCCCAUAAACCGUGGCUCAGUUCAGAUCGUAGGCUGCAACUCGACUGCGUGAAGCUGGAAUCGCUAGUAAUCGUGGAU